This 67-nucleotide transfer RNA is filed under the name Cryptolestes ferrugineus. RNAcentral describes it as "tRNA-Ser". The record is from RNAcentral. Lineage: Eukaryota; Metazoa; Arthropoda; Insecta; Coleoptera; Laemophloeidae.
GAAAUAUGUUAUUCAAAAGCAAGCUUCUAACUUAGCUUUUAAGCUGUGAAAUUCAGUUUAUAUUUCU